Long non-coding RNA from Phycodurus eques (leafy seadragon), 799 nucleotides. RefSeq lists it as uncharacterized. The transcript is spliced from 3 exons. NCBI's taxonomy places the organism in Eukaryota, Metazoa, Chordata, Actinopteri, Syngnathiformes, Syngnathidae. The record is from RefSeq and is a predicted model, not a curated record.
GAACUUUAAAGGACUAUAUCUGUGAAUUCUACAUUGACUAAGUCAACAUGGGGAGGGUUUCCAGAAGAAAGCAAUGGGAGUUGCCUUUCCCCCACUGUCACAAACAUCCUCCACCAGACAUGAUCCAAUAACUACAAAUGACCAGCUCACACAAGCCCUGCGCGCCUCCUGUGCCGGAAAACCACCCCGCCUCCGCUUCCCCCACAGAGCCGCGGCCUAACAGGUUGCCAACACCUGCGAGGGCAGCUGGUUGUCCAGGCUGCCAUCUGCCAGACUGUCUGCACACAGGGCCGGACCGUUGCAUCAAAGAGCCUGAGCCCACAGGACUGUUGACCAUGUAAAGAGGGCGUUCAUUUUACGGCCUGCUGAGGAGUGGAGAGACGAGUUGGAGCUGGGACCAGCUGCAAUUCAUCUUCAUCAACGGUCUACUUAAGCCGGUCCCGAACGCCACCUCGUCGCCAGAUCGUCUUGAGUAGUCGUGCUGUCAGUCGCCUCUAACUCGCAAAACUAUUCGCACUUAGGUCUAAGAAAUACUGAUCAGCUUUUUUCCUCUUGUCACUCUGAGACUCCACGCCUGGCUCCUCGCCUGCACACCUGCCUUCCUGCGGAGUUCCCCCACGCCUGCAACCUCGCUUGCACAUCUGCCUGCCCAUGGACCCCCUUGUCUGGCCGAAACGGAUCACCCGAAGUCCCUACUCCCCCUACAUAAACGCCCUAUAAAUUAACUUGCAUUGCUCGUUUCUGCUGUUGGGUCCUGUCCCGCGUCCCAAACCGUAACAUUUGUCUCUAUGGUGUCUCA